Molecule: long non-coding RNA, 1175 nt
Filed under: Gadus morhua (Atlantic cod)
Lineage: Eukaryota; Metazoa; Chordata; Actinopteri; Gadiformes; Gadidae
Description: lncRNA (ENSGMOG00000033254.1)
Source: RNAcentral
CCCCCUCAAAAUAAGCUCUUCUAAUUGGUCCACGAGUUGCUCCAAUUUUAUUUCUCGUGAGUUGAGUCGUGAGUCGAGUGAGUUGAAGCCGUAGACAUCGGACUGACAGGUGGAACUCUUCAAGAAUGUCUAGAAGACAGUUCAUAAUGCGGUGCAAAAGCACAUUUAAUGACUGUAUGAGAUUGCUUGAAACAGAUGCUGUAGACGUCCAAUCUACAUUGACCAGGUAGGUUUUGGGAAUUUUCCAGCCAACAUGUAAAGGACAUUGCUCAAGAAUUUAAAUUUUAGCCUAAAGGCUACUCCUUCCACACUAAAGGCCGUGUUCACAUCUAGCGUUUUUUUUAAUCUGCCAGCGUUUAUUUUAUAUUAUAUUCCUAUGGAGCAGAGCGUUUCUGGAAAAAGUCACGGCCGUUUUUUUUUUUUUGUGUGGACGGGGCCUAAUAAGUUAUAAAGUAACCGUUCCUUAGAUGGGUAUCGUUAUCCAGUCACUUCUGGCGUGGGUGGAACUUUAGGAUUCCAAGAAUGAAUGUUAACAACUUAUUUUGUGACAAGCAGUUUAUUAUUUUCUAUGUUCAUUGCAAACCAAAAUUCAUGAAAUAAUUCUGCCCAUGCAAAACUCGCGUCGUUUAGUGACAGUUGUCGCUCAUAAUAGCUCCAUGCUGUCGCUUAUCUGCACUGAUCCCACCACUUUACUGUUCCCCCUAAAACGAAAAAAGGGUGUUCUGAAUUCCCCUAUAUAUAUAUAUUUGCUUGCGUGUUAAUUCGCUCAGGCAGAUAUUAAUGCGCCCUUACCACUAGGUGUGGGGUAGCUUCACAGUUUCACACUUACCAUUUUUUUCCUAAUUUCACGAAACCUUUCAAACUUUCAGGUUGGAAACCAUGGAGAGGACCCUAGUGUGGUCACGGGGAAGGCUGCUUGACAUCUCCUCAGCUGAUCUUAUAAUUCGAGAUGUUCGGGAGAUUAUAGCUGAAGUUCGGAGAUCUGUGCCUACCACUCCGGGACAACAAGGCUACCAGGCACCUCUCAUUUGGACCGGAGGUCGUGGUCCCCCACAGUUAAAAAUAUCACAGGAGCAACUGUGUUUUUUGAGGACCUGUGGUUUCACUGGGAAACAGAUGGCACAGAUUCUGGGUGUCUCUGUUCGUACACUGAGCCGUCGUUUAAGGUAUGUUUC